Molecule: ribosomal RNA, 450 nt
Filed under: uncultured bacterium
Lineage: Bacteria
Description: bacterial SSU rRNA
Rfam family: Bacterial small subunit ribosomal RNA
Source: RNAcentral
GUGGGGAAUUUUGGACAAUGGGCGAAAGCCUGAUCCAGCAAUGCCGCGUGCAGGAUGAAGGCCUUCGGGUUGUAAACUGCUUUUGUACGGAACGAAAAAGCUUCUCCUAAUACGAGAGGCCCAUGACGGUACCGUAAGAAUAAGCACCGGCUAACUACGUGCCAGCAGCCGCGGUAAUACGUAGGGUGCGAGCGUUAAUCGGAAUUACUGGGCGUAAAGCGUGCGCAGGCGGUUAUGUAAGACAGAUGUGAAAUCCCCGGGCUCAACCUGGGAACUGCAUUUGUGACUGCAUGGCUAGAGUACGGGAGAGGGGGAUGGAAUUCCGCGUGUAGCAGUGAAAUGCGUAGAUAUGCGGAGGAACACCGAUGGCGAAGGCAAUCCCCUGGACCUGUACUGACGCUCAUGCACGAAAGCGUGGGGAGCAAACAGGAUUAGAAUCCCUGGUAGUCC